Diceros bicornis minor is the source of this 4463-nucleotide long non-coding RNA. RefSeq lists it as uncharacterized. NCBI's taxonomy places the organism in Eukaryota, Metazoa, Chordata, Mammalia, Perissodactyla, Rhinocerotidae. The record is from RefSeq and is a predicted model, not a curated record. The transcript is spliced from 3 exons.
UCUACGCCGCGUGGGGGAGAGUCCCUUGAAUUGACACGGCUUGGCGGGAGUUCUGAUCAACAGUGGUCCUGGGCAAGGCGUCCCCCCCACAGGCGAGAUUCUCGCCCAAGCAGAAUUUUACAGGUCCAACUGGCGUGAAGCAGUCUGUCUAGCACUGCAACAGCAGUGGUUGUCCAACCAUGACGUUCAAUGGCAUAGCAGUCCGAAGAAAACAGGAGGUGCUCAUUGUGGCAGCAAUCAGCAAGCUGAUUAACAGUACCUAUUCACAUAAAGAAACAGCAUUUUUAGGAACAUGAUAUAGAUUAUUGUUUUUGGGGUAUAUAACAAUUAGGGUGGCUGUGGUUCUUUGUGCUAUGAUUUUGGCCGCUUGGGAAGCAGUAUGCGGAGGGUGUGUAACUCAAACUGGCUCUAGGUUUUCAACCAUAUGUUGAGUUGAAGCCUUGUAAUUUUUGGGGGGGGAUAAAAUUGAGGGAGGGCUCCCCCUUUUUAUUUGUGGUGUUAUUAGGGGAAGGAUAAGUAGUUGUCCAAUUUUGUCUUCUUUUUGUAACCUAGUUAAAGGUGUGUCAUUAGGUCCUAUAGGCCUAUUGUUUAAAAUAUGCAAAGCAGCGUUUAAAUGUGCAUACCAGUUUUGUAAAGAAUUUUUACUUAAUUUGUGUAGCUGUUGUUUUAACAAUUUAUUUAUUUUUUUAAUUAGACCAGCAGUUUGGGGUUAGUAAGGAAUAUGAUAUAUCCAUUUAAUAUAAUUUUUUUUUGGCAUAGGUUUGUAUUCACUUACCUGUAAAGUGGGAACCGUUGUCACUCUGAAUUUGUCUUGGUGUUUUAUAGUACAACUUAAUUGUAUUUAAUAAUUUUAUGGCACUCUGCUGGGUGUCUGCUUUAGUCGGCAUAGCUAAUAAAUAGCCGGAAUAUGUGUCAACAGCAGUGUAGACGUAAAUAUAGCCACAAGAAUUUGGCAAUGGUCCAAUAAAAUCUAUUUGUCAUGUAUGGGUGGGAAAUAAUCCCUUUUGGAUAUGACCUUGGUAGGGGUGUGGAACUCCCCAUUUAACUAUUGGCAUAUUGACAUUGUUGUACUGCAGUGGCAAUAUUAUCAUGGGUGAUAAGGAUUCUCCUUUGUUGUGCCCACCUGUAUGAAGCUUGUUCUCCCAAGUGUCCACUCUUUUCAUGGAUCCAUUGUGUUAAGUCUGGGUUGUGUGUUGCACGAAUUUGCACCAGCUGAUCAGCAUAAGAGUUAUAUUUUUGUUCUGUAGAAAUUAAAGAACUGUGAGCAUCAACAUGAAAUACAGUAAUAAUUGUGUUUUGGCACCAUAAUUAUAUGUUUUUUUAUAAUUUUUUUAGUGAGACAUAAUGUUUAUUUUUAUAAUGAAUUUAUAAUACAAUUAGACCACAGAGAUGUAAUCAUUUUAUAUAAAGCCCAUUUAAAAAUAUCAACUUUUAUAAAAUUUUAUCUUAAUUUUAUUACUUUUAUAUCUCUAUUACUUUUAUUAAGAUUUUAUUAACAAAUUUUAGUAUUACAAUACUGUGUAGGGAAAGCAUUCCCAGCCAGAUAUAAUAUUUAUUUUCAAAAAACACAUUUAGACAAAGUUGACAUAAGCUCUUUAUAUAAUAUUAGCUUAAAUACUUUAAUUUUUAUAGUCUUAUUAACCUGAGUAGCCUAACUGUUGCCCCAAAAACUUUUAUCCUUUUUACAUCUAUUUUGUUUAUUUAUUUCCAAUAAUUAUAUUUAGAUUGUCUACAAAAACCUUAUGAGAUGUCAGACAGAAAUAGUUAUUAUUUUGUUAUUACCUUUGUUGACUAAUUUUGUAACAGAGAUAACAUGAGCUCUUUUGAUCAGUAAACCCAGGCUGUAUGUCUGUGUUAUAUCUAAUGUUGAUAACUCUGAAAACAUAUUUAUUUUAAUUAAACCAACAAACUUAAACAAGUUUUUAUUUAUUAAAGAUUAUAUUAUGUUAACUUGAAAGACAUUUAGGCUAGUUUUUAUUAUAUUUAGAAAUAACUUGUAAAAGUGUUUACUCUAAGCCAAUUAAAUAGAGCUCCUUUAGAAACUGUACCAUCUGGAGGCCGACAAAUACACAUAGAGACAGAUAAACACAAACAGAGAUCUUCAAAAUUUUAGCCAGGUCUCAGGUACAAAACUCAGAAGAACAGUUAGAUCCAAACAGUUUUUCUAGCAGGUGGAUCUGCUCAGAUGGCCAAAAAUAUUUACUAAAGAUUUUUUUCUUUUGUUGUAAAGCCUUUUUACAGGUGUUUUUGAAAUAACUUUGUCUUUUAGAAGUUUCUGUAUAUUAAUUAAAGACUGCAUCUCAUCGUGAGAGGUUUUGAAUCCUCUCUUUUAAGGGUGACCCUUAAGGUGAACUCGUCUGAAACAGAGGUUCCCCAGAAUGACCAUUAUAAUUUCAAAUUAUCUCAAAAGUUUAUUUAUUUUCACUUGCUUAAUUUUAGAUCAGGAAUUUUGGGGGAGUUGAAGUGGGAAGCUCAGCAAGGGAGGAGAGAGAAGCAGAUUUAGCUUCAGCUGUUGGCAUGUUUAAUAUUUAAUUAUUUUUUUUUAAAGAGGCAGUACAGUAUUCCUGAUUUUAUUUAGAAGCCUCAAAAGAUUAAAAUAGGCUUCCCAUUGGUUGUUUAACUUUUUACCUGGCUUUUUUUAAUUGCAUAAGCAAAUACACCAGUUUUGGUAAACUGAAAUUGCCCCAUUUUGGCCACUUUCUCUCUGGAGUCUGUGGAAUAUUGUGGCCAUGUGGUGUUACAAGAAAAAAUUAUCUUUUUCUUGGACGUGGGCUCAUAGCUGAAGUCAGCCCAUUUAGCCAAGAGGUGGCCCAGAGAGCUUUUCCUGGGGACAAAUGGAGGCCCCCCCCUUCAAAAUUACAAACGUACAGAACAGAGAAUCAGAUGGGAUCCCAAACAGGACAGGUGCCCCCAACAGAUUUUGGGUAAAAGUCCUAUAAUUAUUUCCAUUCCAGUAGGGAUAGCCCUGCAUCUCAAAGAGAUAGGACCCCAGAUGGAGUGGAAGGGAGUUCUUGGUGUAAGCAAAAACAAACAAACAAUUUUAGAGCCUGUUUCCCUGUCAUAAGAAAAUGUGCCCAGGGUCAGCUGUGCUGGGUCAGAAGGAAAACACUGAGAACAGUCCCUAGGGCAAAUCACCUAGGCAGCUGCUGGACUGUUUCCCAGGACAUCCCAGCCGGCCCAGGGCCGCCGAGCCAUGGGCAAGAGCCUCCCAGCUGGCCUGCCAAAUUGUUAUUGGACACAUAUCCAGGCUCUCCAUUUGUCACAUAAGAGGGGCCAAAUAAAACUAAAACGCCAGGCUUAUGGCAAAGAAAGAGUUUUUAUUUUGGGUGACGUCAGCCGGGACCUGGAAUCUCCACCUUGGUUUCAGUUACCCUUUGUCUGAAUAGGAAAGCCAUCUCCUUAAUGGAAUCCCGCUCACAGUGCAAAUUAUGUUUUGAGAGGUUCGGUGGAUUGGAUCGGAGAUGUAAAGAAACUUUCCAACCCAGGCGAAUGGACUGAAUGUAUACUUUAUUGUAUAGAGAAGGGUAAAGGCAAAGGCAGCAAACAGAUUAUAUAGGGAAGGGUAAGGGCAAAGGCAGCAAACAUAUCCGAAUAGGUCAAAUAACAAGAGGGAAAAACAUCAGGUUGAUCAAAAAGGGAAAGUUCAGAUCGACCGAGAUAGAAACAGAUCCAAAUAGAUCAAAUAAGAGGGAAAUAACAACAGAUCAAUUGAAAAGAGAAACAUCAGAUUGACCGAAAAGAGAAAACAUCAGAUCGGGUACUUACAACAUCCACAGAGAAUCCCUUGAAUUGACAUGGCUAGGCAGGAGUUCUGAUCAACAGUGGUCCUGGGCAAGGCGUCCCCUCCCCAGGCGAGACUCUCACCCAAGCAGAAUUAAAAUUAAUUCCGGAAUUGGGCAGAAGGCUAUGAAGGGCCUGGGUGGCAGCACCAUGAAGAGCUUCCCCGUGGCUCCCCUAGUUCUCCUGGUUUUCAUCCUGAGUGUCCAUCUCGGAGCUGCCAUACGUGGCAGUGAUGUGGCCUAGUUCUGCUGCUUCCAGUACAGCCACAAGAUCCUUCCCUGGAAAUAUGUGCGUUCCUAUGAAUUCACCAGGAGCAGCUGCUCUCAGGGGGCUGUGAUACUCACUACCAAAAGAGGCAAGAAAGUCUGUGCACAGCCAAAGGAAAAAUGGGUGCAAAGAUACAUUUCUUUACUGAGAGCCCAGUAACGAUUGUGACAGCCAGAUUUCCAGCCCAAGGACGCUGGACCCUGCGUCCAGUGUCUUGGCUCUGCUGCCCUUGACGGAGCCUGGAGAAUUUCUUCAGCAGAAUGCUUUGUGGGCCUGGUGGGGACGAGACGGCAUCUUCUGCCAGAGUUUUAUUUAAUAAAGGUUUUUCAUAAAGAAAAAAAAAAAGAAAAUUAAUUCCUUUAGGGAAAGAAAUACAUCUUUUCUAUUAUAAAGAAUAUUUCUUGACUUUAGGCAAA